GACGUAGGGCGCAAGCGUUGUCCGGAAUUAUUGGGCGUAAAGAGCUCGUAGGCGGUUUGUCGCGUCUGCUGUGAAAACCCGAGGCUCAACCUCGGGCCUGCAGUGGGUACGGGCAGACUAGAGUGCGGUAGGGGAGAUUGGAAUUCCUGGUGUAGCGGUGGAAUGCGCAGAUAUCAGGAGGAACACCGAUGGCGAAGGCAGAUCUCUGGGCCGUAACUGACGCUGAGGAGCGAAAGCAUGGGGAGCGAACAGG
This 253-nucleotide ribosomal RNA is filed under the name uncultured bacterium. RNAcentral's name for it is "partial 16S ribosomal RNA". It matches the Rfam family "Bacterial small subunit ribosomal RNA", at positions 524 to 776 of the family's 1533-position model. The record is from RNAcentral.